Molecule: transfer RNA, 67 nt
Filed under: Marmota monax (woodchuck)
Lineage: Eukaryota; Metazoa; Chordata; Mammalia; Rodentia; Sciuridae
Description: tRNA.Val
Source: RNAcentral
GGUCUUGGUUCAGUGGUGGAGCGCUUGCCUCACAUGUAUGAGGCACUGGGUUCAAUUCUCAGCACCA